AGCAACGGCGAACAGGAGCCGGGAACGCGCCUCCGAUAGGUCAGGCUUAGGGACCUGCGGACAAGAGGGCGGGAUCAGGACCCCGCGGCACGGCCCACGGAUUGGCUCCUGGCACUCGCCACGCCUACGCCCAUAGCUGCCGGACGUGCGCCUCCAGGUCUCGGUUCCGUGCCUCGGCCUCACGGAGCUGACUGCGGGUAGGAAGAGACCGUGAGCCCUCCCGGACCCGAGCCAGACCGGCUGUUGGCAGUAGAGACCGACCCGGCGCCCCGACCCCGACCUGGCAAAGAUCUGGUUAGCUGUGCGGAUGGCCUCCAGCUCCCGGCUCAGGCUCUGCCGUGUGAGCACCUCCUCCUCCAGGGCCUCCUGGAGCUCCCGCAGCGUCACCUGGGCCUCCUGGGCCUCCGCCGAGGCCGGAGUGGCCUCCGGAACCGCCGCUGCAGCCUGCGGGGCCGGACCGCGCUUAGGGCUGCCCGUGGCUCCCACAGCACCCAAGACCGGGGCACAGGUUCUAGGCACCCUGCCUUGUCCUCUAGAUCUCUGGGAAUCCUCACAGCUCCUGUGGUGACCCGGGUCUCCUUGCCUUCCUAACCCCAGCCCCGUCCUGGUCUCCGGCCUUUGGUCUGGGCCCUUCCCACCCACCGUCCGCACACACAGGAACCAAAGAGCUGUUCCUAAAACCCUAACCCAACUUGACCACGUCCCUCUCCUCCUCCCCAGGCCCUCAGCGCCCUCAGGGGAAGGCCUGCCUCCCCAAAACGCCCAGUUUGGUUUGUUUCCCAUUGGCCUCAGUCUCCCCUCCCCUCAGUCUCCACCCCCUCCUCCUGGAACGAGUCAGCCUUACCACCUUCCUUCCCUGAUCGAGAGUAAACCUUUGCCUUGAAGUUC
Molecule: long non-coding RNA, 888 nt
Organism: Ailuropoda melanoleuca (giant panda)
Lineage: Eukaryota; Metazoa; Chordata; Mammalia; Carnivora; Ursidae
Exons: 2
Source: RefSeq, a predicted model, not a curated record